UGCCAGACUCCUACGGGAGGCAGCAGUGGGGGAUAUUGCACAAUGGGGGGAACCCUGAUGCAGCGACGCCGCGUGGGUGAAGGAGUGCUUCGGCAUGUAAAGCCCUAUCGGCAGGGAAGAAGCAAGACGGUACCUGACUAAGAAGCCCCGGCUAACUACGUGCCAGCAGCCGCGGUAAUACGUAGGGGGCGAGCGUUAUCCGGAUUCACUGGGGGUAAAGGGAGCGUAGGCGGCCAUGCAAGCCAGGGGGGAAAGCCCGGGGCCCAACCCCGGGACUGCCCUUGGAACUGCAUGGCUGGAGUGCGGGAGGGGCAGGCGGAAUUCCUGGUGUAGCGGUGAAAUGCGUAGAUAUUAGGAAGAACACCAGUGGCGAAGGCGGCUUUCUGGACUGAAACUGACGCUGAGGCACGAAAGCGUGGGGAGCGAACAGGAUUAGAUACCCCCGUAACA
This 450-nucleotide ribosomal RNA is filed under the name uncultured bacterium. RNAcentral's name for it is "bacterial SSU rRNA". It matches the Rfam family "Bacterial small subunit ribosomal RNA", at positions 329 to 795 of the family's 1533-position model. The record is from RNAcentral.